RNAcentral lists this long non-coding RNA (816 nucleotides) under Salarias fasciatus (jewelled blenny). RNAcentral describes it as "lncRNA (ENSSFAG00005003412.1)". Lineage: Eukaryota; Metazoa; Chordata; Actinopteri; Blenniiformes; Blenniidae. The record is from RNAcentral.
UUAUUUUCUGGGCAUUAUAGAUCAGGGGUAACACUGGGAGACAGUGAGGGUCUGACAGUGGAAAGAUCGCCUUCAAAUCAGGACCAACUCAUCAUUGACCUCACCACCCCACCAGCCUCCCCCACCCCUACGAGGUCUUCGCCCGCAUUCGGCUCUCUCUGGACUCCAGCUGCCCCUCCACCAUCACCGAGUACUGGGCCAUCUCAUGCAUUCAGCUCUCUUUGGACUCCAGCUGCCCCUCCACCAUCACCGAGUACUGGGCCAUCUCAUGCAUUCAGCUCUCUUUGGACUCCACACACUGUUGGCGCUGAUCGAAUUGCGGUUGUUCCACCAUCAAGAUUGAACGAUCCUGAAAGAGAGGAAGAGGCUUCAGGAGUUGCAUCUGGGGUUGACCGCGAAGAGGAAGGAGGACAGCAAGCCUCUGCAGAAGACCGGAGCGAAGAUGUGCGCGGUGAGAGGAAUGAGGAAGAUGAUGAUGUGAGAAAUUAUUUCCUCAAUCAAGAGAAUGACUAUGAAGAUAUGACAGGGCACACCACCCGCAGCCUUACAAUCCCCCGCCUUGAAGACGCUGAAUCAGAUUUCUUCAACCAUGUAGUGCCGGUGAUUGAACAAGCGUUUGAGACAUUCAUAAAUGAUUCAUUCCUGUUAAAGGAACGCAUGCUCGUACAGAUAUACCAACGUCUUAGACAAAAUCUCAAUCGUGCUCAAACACGUGGGCUGGGUGUCAGUGCUAUCAGCCGUGCUAUCACCCGCGGGCAGAGAUCCCCGCUACCGAGACUGGCCCCACUUCUCUAAAUCACCAUUUGCUGAAAUCAA